UACGUAGGGUGCAGGCGUUAAUCGGAAUCACUGGGCGUAAAGCGUGCGUAGGUGGCGUGUUAAGUGCAAUGCGAAAUCCUGUGGCUCAACCAUAUGGACUGUAUUGCAUACUGGCAUGCUAGAGGACGGCAGAGGCAAGUGGAAUUACCGGUGUAGCAGUGAAAUGCGUAGAGAUCGGUAGGAACACCAAUGGCGAAGGCAGCUUGCUGGGCCGACCCUGACGCUAAGGCACGAAAGCGUGGGGAGCGAACAGG
RNAcentral lists this ribosomal RNA (254 nucleotides) under uncultured bacterium. Its description in RNAcentral is "partial 16S ribosomal RNA". It matches the Rfam family "Bacterial small subunit ribosomal RNA", at positions 524 to 776 of the family's 1533-position model. The record is from RNAcentral.